RNAcentral lists this long non-coding RNA (414 nucleotides) under Setaria viridis. RNAcentral's name for it is "long non-coding RNA (SVIR_LNC005589)". The record is from RNAcentral. Lineage: Eukaryota; Viridiplantae; Streptophyta; Magnoliopsida; Poales; Poaceae.
GACGCUUCUCCCUAUUUUCCUCCCCCACUCCCUAUACGGCCCCAUCCGCCAGCGCCCGACCUUCGCUUCGAUUCCCCACGCUUUCCUCUGCGACUACUUAAGCCUUCAACGCCGCCAGAGACCUCCCCUCCCCACGCCAUUGCUACCCACCAAGCACCACCGUGGAACCCCCACCUCCGCGCUACCCCACCACUCGACACCGCCCUCUCUAGCUCCGCAGCAACAACACGCACCUUCUCCCCCCAUCCAUUGCCCUCCAGCGACGUUGCCGGCGCGGAACAUCUGAGCUCUGCCAUCGCCGCCCGUGUUUCCUUCCCCAAUGCCGUUCGCCCUCUCCGAGCCCUCACCGCUACCACCGCCUUCAUCAAACUUGCUCGAAGUGAGCACACGCAUGGCCUUGGCUACUUAUCCCCC